Molecule: ribosomal RNA, 241 nt
Filed under: uncultured Actinomycetales bacterium
Lineage: Bacteria; Bacillati; Actinomycetota; Actinomycetes; Actinomycetales
Description: partial 16S ribosomal RNA
Rfam family: Bacterial small subunit ribosomal RNA
Source: RNAcentral
ACUCGAGUGGCGAACGGGUGAGUAACACGUGGGUGAUCUGCCCUGCACUUCGGGAUAAGCUUGGGAAACUGGGUCUAAUACCGGAUAGGAGCCAUCUUUAGUGUGGUGGUUGGAAAGUUUUUCGGUGUAGGAUGAGCUCGCGGCCUAUCAGCUUGUUGGUGGGGUAAUGGCCUACCAAGGCGGCGACGGGUAGCCGGCCUGAGAGGGUGUACGGCCACAUUGUGACUGAGAUACGGCCCAG